Molecule: unclassified non-coding RNA, 152 nt
Organism: Pongo abelii (Sumatran orangutan)
Lineage: Eukaryota; Metazoa; Chordata; Mammalia; Primates; Hominidae
Rfam family: Metazoan signal recognition particle RNA
About the family: The signal recognition particle (SRP) is a universally conserved ribonucleoprotein. It is involved in the co-translational targeting of proteins to membranes. The eukaryotic SRP consists of a 300-nucleotide 7S RNA and six proteins: SRPs 72, 68, 54, 19, 14, and 9.
Source: Ensembl
GCCGGGCGUGGUGGUGCACGCCUGUAAUCCCAGCUACUUAGGAGACUGAGGCAGGGGAAUCGCUUGAACCUGGGAGGUGGAGGUUGUAGUGAGCUGAUGUCAUGCCACUGUACUCUAUCCAGCCUGGGUGACACAGCGAAACCCUGUCUCAA